AGAGUUUGAUCCUGGCUCAGAUUGAACGCUGGCGGCAGGCCUAACACAUGCAAGUCGAGCGGUAGCACAGAGAGCUUGCUCUCGGGUGACGAGCGGCGGACGGGUGAGUAAUGUCUGGGAAACUGCCUGAUGGAGGGGGAUAACUACUGGAAACGGUAGCUAAUACCGCAUAAUGUCGCAAGACCAAAGUGGGGGACCUUCGGGCCUCAUGCCAUCAGAUGUGCCCAGAUGGGAUUAGCUAGUAGGUGGGGUAACGGCUCACCUAGGCGACGAUCCCUAGCUGGUCUGAGAGGAUGACCAGCCACACUGGAACUGAGACACGGUCCAGACUCCUACGGGAGGCAGCAGUGGGGAAUAUUGCACAAUGGGCGCAAGCCUGAUGCAGCCAUGCCGCGUGUGUGAAGAAGGCCUUCGGGUUGUAAAGCACUUUCAGCGGGGAGGAAGGCGUUAAGGUUAAUAACCUUGGCGAUUGACGUUACCCGCAGAAGAAGCACCGGCUAACUCCGUGCCAGCAGCCGCGGUAAUACGGAGGGUGCAAGCGUUAAUCGGAAUUACUGGGCGUAAAGCGCACGCAGGCGGUCUGUCAAGUCGGAUGUGAAAUCCCCGGGCUCAACCUGGGAACUGCAUUCGAAACUGGCAGGCUAGAGUCUUGUAGAGGGGGGUAGAAUUCCAGGUGUAGCGGUGAAAUGCGUAGAGAUCUGGAGGAAUACCGGUGGCGAAGGCGGCCCCCUGGACAAAGACUGACGCUCAGGUGCGAAAGCGUGGGGAGCAAACAGGAUUAGAUACCCUGGUAGUCCACGCCGUAAACGAUGUCGAUUUGGAGGUUGUGCCCUUGAGGCGUGGCUUCCGGAGCUAACGCGUUAAGUCGACCGCCUGGGGAGUACGGCCGCAAGGUUAAAACUCAAAUGAAUUGACGGGGGCCCGCACAAGCGGUGGAGCAUGUGGUUUAAUUCGAUGCAACGCGAAGAACCUUACCUGGUCUUGACAUCCACAGAACUUUCCAGAGAUGGAUUGGUGCCUUCGGGAACUGUGAGACAGGUGCUGCAUGGCUGUCGUCAGCUCGUGUUGUGAAAUGUUGGGUUAAGUCCCGCAGCGAGCGCAACCCUUAUCCUUUGUUGCCAGCGGUUCGGCCGGGAACUCAAAGGAGACUGCCAGUGAUAAACUGGAGGAAGGUGGGGAUGACGUCAAGUCAUCAUGGCCCUUACGACCAGGGCUACACACGUGCUACAAUGGCAUAUACAAAGAGAAGCGACCUCGCGAGAGCAAGCGGACCUCAUAAAGUAUGUCGUAGUCCGGAUUGGAGUCUGCAACUCGACUCCAUGAAGUCGGAAUCGCUAGUAAUCGUAGAUCAGAAUGCUACGGUGAAUACGUUCCCGGGCCUUGUACACACCGCCCGUCACACCAUGGGAGUGGGUUGCAA
RNAcentral lists this ribosomal RNA (1420 nucleotides) under uncultured bacterium. RNAcentral's name for it is "bacterial SSU rRNA". It matches the Rfam family "Bacterial small subunit ribosomal RNA". The record is from RNAcentral.